RNAcentral lists this unclassified non-coding RNA (352 nucleotides) under soil metagenome. Its description in RNAcentral is "partial contains 5.8S ribosomal RNA, internal transcribed spacer 2, and large subunit ribosomal RNA". The stretch from base 1 to 120 matches the Rfam family "5.8S ribosomal RNA", at positions 35 to 154 of the family's 154-position model. The record is from RNAcentral.
GAUGAAGAACGCAGCGAAAUGCGAUAAGUAAUGUGAGUUGCAGAAUUCAGUGAAUCAUCGAAUCUUUGAACGCACAUUGCGCCCGCCAGUAUUCUGGCGGGCAUGCCUGUUCGAGCGUCAUUACAACCCUCAGGCCCCCGGGCCUGGCGUUGGGGAUCGGCGGAGCCCCCCGUGGGCACACGCCGUCCCCCAAAUGCAGUGGCGGUCCCGCCGCAGCUUCCAUCGCGUAGUAGCUAACACCUCGCGACUGGAGAGCGGCGCGGCCACGCCGUAAAACACCCAACUCUUCUGAAGUUGACCUCGAAUCAGGUAGGAAUACCCGCUGAACUUAAGCAUAUCAAUAAGCGGAGGA